GCCCGCCUAGCUCAGCUGGUUAGAGUCUCCGACUUUUAAUCGGAUGGUCGCGGGUUCGAACCCCGCGGUGGGCU
RNAcentral lists this transfer RNA (74 nucleotides) under Trichosporon asahii var. asahii CBS 8904. RNAcentral describes it as "tRNA-Lys (TTT) (tRNA-Lys-TTT-3-1)". It matches the Rfam family "tRNA". Rfam says of the family: Transfer RNA (tRNA) molecules are approximately 80 nucleotides in length. The record is from RNAcentral. Lineage: Eukaryota; Fungi; Basidiomycota; Tremellomycetes; Trichosporonales; Trichosporonaceae.